This 259-nucleotide ribosomal RNA is filed under the name uncultured prokaryote. RNAcentral's name for it is "partial 16S ribosomal RNA". It matches the Rfam family "Bacterial small subunit ribosomal RNA", at positions 524 to 782 of the family's 1533-position model. The record is from RNAcentral.
UACUGAGGAUCCGAGCGUUAUCCGGAUUUAUUGGGUUUAAAGGGUGCGUAGGUGGAUUGGUAAGUCAGUGGUGAAAGUUUGCAGCUUAACUGUAAAAUUGCCGUUGAAACUGCCGGUCUUGAGUGCAAAUGAGGUAGGCGGAAUGCGUCGUGUAGCGGUGAAAUGCUUAGAUAUGACGCAGAACUCCGAUUGCGAAGGCAGCUUACUGGGAUGCAACUGACGCUGAGGCACGAAAGCGUGGGUAUCAAACAGGAUUAGA